CAAUAGCGUAUAUUAAAGUUGUUGCAGUUAAAAAGCUCGUAGUUGGAUUUGUGGCGUACGGUGGGUUCCGGGCACUUGUUGUCUGAGUAACUUGCUGUUGCCAUCCUUGGGUGGAACCUGUGUGGCAUUAGGUUGUCGUGCAGGGGAUGCCCAUCAUUUACUGUGAAAAAAUUAGAGUGUUCAAAGCAGGCUUAUGCCGUUGAAUAUAUUAGCAUGGAAUAAUGAGAUAGGACUUUUUUGCUAUUUUGUUGGUUUGCGCAAAGAGGUAAUGAUUAAUAGGGACAGUUGGGGGUAUUCGUAUUCCAUUGUCAGAGGUGAAAUUCUUGGAUUUUUGGAAGACGAACUACUGCGAAAGCAUUUACCAAGGAUGUUUCCAUUAA
Molecule: ribosomal RNA, 380 nt
Filed under: uncultured eukaryote
Lineage: Eukaryota
Description: partial 18S ribosomal RNA
Rfam family: Eukaryotic small subunit ribosomal RNA
Source: RNAcentral